This 498-nucleotide ribosomal RNA is filed under the name uncultured bacterium. RNAcentral describes it as "partial 16S ribosomal RNA". It matches the Rfam family "Bacterial small subunit ribosomal RNA", at positions 30 to 523 of the family's 1533-position model. The record is from RNAcentral.
AUUGAACGCUGGCGGCAUGCCUUACACAUGCAAGUCGAACGGUAACAGGUCUUCGGAUGCUGACGAGUGGCGAACGGGUGAGUAAUACAUCGGAACGUGCCUAGUAGUGGGGGAUAACUACUCGAAAGAGUGGCUAAUACCGCAUGAGAUCUACGGAUGAAAGCAGGGGAUCGCAAGACCUUGUGCUACUAGAGCGGCCGAUGGCAGAUUAGGUAGUUGGUGGGAUAAAAGCUUACCAAGCCGACGAUCUGUAGCUGGUCUGAGAGGACGAUCAGCCACACUGGGACUGAGUCACGGCCCAGACUCCGACGGGAGGAAGCAGUGGGGAAUUUUGGACAAUGGGCGCAAGCCUGAUCCAGCAAUGCCGCGUGCAGGAUGAAGGCCUUCGGGUUGUAAACUGCUUUUGUACGGAACGAAAAGCCCCGGGUUAAUACCCUGGGGUCAUGACGGUACCGUAAGAAUAAGCACCGGCUAACUACGUGCCAGCCGCCGCAGUAA